AGAUUUCUACUUCUGAUGACACAUGGCUGAGAAUAAGGAUGAGUUUCAUUCAGGCAAAGUCAAAUCCAGGCUCCCCGAAACCCAGAGUGAUCUUCAAGUCCUGUGUUCCUAAUGUGGAGUUUUCAAACCAUAUUCCACACAGAACCAGUAUUACCACAUGUUCCCUGCAGGGGGAUUAUAUAUCUUCUUCCUACUGAUAUCACGUGACUUGCUUCAGCCAAUGAAAUGGCACAGGAGUGCCGUGUGCCACUCACAGAAAAAGCCCAAGACCUUCAUGAGGUUCUGCAGUUUUCCUUUUAUCUCCUCCAUGAGACCUACAAUAGCCCAAGUGGGAGUUGCUCUUAUAGCCUUGAUCCAAGAGUAAAGAUGUUGAAAAGAGCUACAGCCACCAAGCAGCUGUCAUGUAAAGUGAGUAAGAAAUAAAGCACGCUGUUGCAAACCA
Long non-coding RNA from Leopardus geoffroyi (Geoffroy's cat), 442 nucleotides. RefSeq lists it as uncharacterized. The record is from RefSeq and is a predicted model, not a curated record. NCBI's taxonomy places the organism in Eukaryota, Metazoa, Chordata, Mammalia, Carnivora, Felidae. The transcript is spliced from 2 exons.